AAAGCAUAUCAUAAAAUCCCGCUUCAUAAAUUCAUCAAUUCAAAAGUAGGAACGAGUCAUUGUGGUUCCCUGUUCCCUACACACAUGCUUCGACGCUCAAUAACUCUAACCUAGAUCGUCCGCCUUGCUUCGCCGCUCCAUCUCUUUUCCCUAGUCGUCUCUCUCCGUUCGGCCCUGUUCCCCUGCUUCACCCUCUUCCACCCUGCAUAACCCUAUAUCGUAUGCCCUCCUCUGUGUAACUGAUGCUCCAAUCAGCUAUUCAAAGGAUAAUUCAAGUCACUUAUGAGCUUUGAUUGUGGCUAGAGAUCUCAUUGUCUAUCCACCUAAUCUUUGUGCCCCCAGCAUAUUCAAUGUUACUACAAAGGUCAGUUUUUUUUUUAACUGUCACUCAUGAAAUUUCUUUUUUAUUUUCAUAUGUAAUUUAAUCUAUUCAAUUAAUAACAAGAAAAAAUGAUUGGGGAUGAAAUAGUGAUAUGGGGUGAAGCUUUUUGACCAAGUCACCUUAACACCAAUAUUGCAUGACAACUUGACUGUGCAGGGGAAAAUAAGUCCAAUGUGUGGGAAAUUUGUCCAACUUAUUUUACUGUAAUGAUAACCACUUUCCAUAAUGGAUGAAAUAUAUGUACUACAUAGACCAUUUUUAAUACAUAAAUUGCUCUUAUUGUCUAAGUUAUAAAAAAAAACUCUCAAAUGAACAAUUCCAUUUUCUUGACUAUGAACAAAAGCAUUCUCAUUUUGUUUCAUAGUAUCUUGAAGAGUAUUUUCAUUCCAUGGUUUCACAAGUUGUUUCUUUUAACAUUGUGCUUCUUUUAUUUUUAAAUGCACAAAUACUAUAUAUGGAUUCAUUUGGAAAUGAAUCAAAUGAUACACUACUAGCUUGUUCAUCACGAGUUUAUUACAAUAAGGUUUGGAAGAGGUACUAUAAGUUUGAGCAAACAUGGAGAUUUUGUUAUAAUUUUGGAAGGCAAUUGUUCAUAAGUUGGAUAAACAAGAUGAGCAAUUAUGCAAAUGAAAUCUUCACGUCAACUUAUGUGUUUCUUCAUGAACUAGUAUUUAGUUUGAUAGUUUAGUGUUUUAUGUAAUUACUAGCAUAAUGUUUAGACUUAUUAAGUCUUUUGGAAGAUAUUUUUGUUAUUAAUAUUGAGAAUAUUAUUGUAAGAUCAUUUAAGUUUUAAUUUAAGUAAUGCUUUUGUUUUU
Lactuca sativa (garden lettuce) is the source of this 1197-nucleotide non-coding RNA. The record is from RefSeq and is a predicted model, not a curated record. Lineage: Eukaryota; Viridiplantae; Streptophyta; Magnoliopsida; Asterales; Asteraceae.